AGGGAGGCGGGGUUUAUCUCAUACACGGUUAGUAGUGGAGUUACGUCCCUUUAUAUUCCUUAUUAGGUAAGAAGGGGGCGGGGCUUAUUUAAUACACGGUUAGUAAUGGUGUUAUGUCCCUUUGUAAAAAACAAAACGGUACUGAGAAAAAAUCUUAAAAGUUCCAACAGACGAAGAAAUUGAUGAUUCAGAUUGAAACAAAUUCAUAAAAC
Molecule: long non-coding RNA, 212 nt
Filed under: Mytilus galloprovincialis (Mediterranean mussel)
Lineage: Eukaryota; Metazoa; Mollusca; Bivalvia; Mytilida; Mytilidae
Source: RNAcentral